Long non-coding RNA from Vicia villosa (hairy vetch), 299 nucleotides. RefSeq lists it as uncharacterized. The transcript has 2 exons. Lineage: Eukaryota; Viridiplantae; Streptophyta; Magnoliopsida; Fabales; Fabaceae. The record is from RefSeq and is a predicted model, not a curated record.
GAUACCACAUUUUUUCUUUCAUUUUCCUUUUCAUUUUCGGAGAGAGAGAGAGUGAAGCUGAGAAAGAAAAGAAGAAAAAGGGAAAAGAGAAAAGGGGAAGAACAAAGAGGAGCUAGGUUUUGGAGGAGACAUUAAAGAGGUUCUGGCGUUUAGUAGCUCUUGCGAGACUUAGCUGGAGUUUCUUCUGUGUUUGUUGGAGAUUAGAUAGUGAGUCGAUGCUCUGGUCAUGUAACACUGGGUAGACUAAGCGUGUUGAACUCAUGUUAUAUUUGUUUAUGCAUUAUGUUAUGACUUGUGAA